GAGCAGAGAGAUUAGAAAAACCCACCAUAAAUGUGGGUCUUUCAUUAUGAGUAAUCAGACUUUAUGAAUCGUCCCCUUGACAGACUUCUGGUCCCCUGUUCAGUCUCACACUCGGUGGGUCCCGGGAAACAGCUUCUUCUGCCUCCUCGUCCAUGGUAGGUCAGAACCAAAGAAACCAUUUUGAUUAGUAAGAUAAAUGUCCUGUCAUGUGGAACAUUGAUUGUGUAAAUUAUUGUAAGUCUACUUUGGUUAUUUUAAGGGUUAAAUUACAGCAGAAACCCCGAGCGCACGUUUGUGUGUUUCUUUUGAACUUCUGCAGAAACGUGACUGAGCUUCAUCACCACAGUCCUUUAUUGUGUCUGCCGGGUUUCCCUCCUUAUUCUCUCGUCUUCGCCCUCUGUUCUCUCCUCAGAUGCAGCAGCUCUGCUACCUUGCAAUCACUUUCUCGUGCACCCUGUGUUUCGCACCUUUGCUGCGUUCCUUAGGGUGCAAUGAAACACAAUAUCGCAGCAGUCAUGGUGAACAAAGCUGCUGUAACAAGUGUCGGCCAGGUCACUAUGUGGUUCAGCACUGUACUGCCUCCUCUCCGACUAAGUGCAAGCCGUGCGAGGAUCAGCGCUACAUUCAGACGUACAACAUGGAGUGGAGCUGCGACUUUUGUGGAAGCUGCAGUGCAUCAAACAUGGAGUACAAGUCACACUGCAACGCCACCCAUGACUCUGUGUGCAAAUGUAAACCGGGCUAUGAAUGCACAGACCGGCCCUGCACGCAGUGUCGGCCGGUGUCGCCGACCACCAGACCCCCACCCCCUGUAACACCUGUCACUGUCAUCACCGUGGAAACAAGCAAAGGUAAAGUGCGCUGCGCUUCCUGUGCAGCCAUAAAAAAGACGUGUUUAAGGUGUUUACGCGUUACUAAAAUAUCUCUUUUGCACACGUCUACAGAUACGCUGUGGCUAAUGCAAAUGGCUGCUUUUCUGUUGAUAACAGUUGCAGUGUGUGUUGUCUUGAAAAAAAAAGCAGGUCAGCAGUGGAUCACAUCCAAAUGUGGUUACCUGUUGGCUAAAACACAUGAGCCGGUGUCACCGUGCUCCGAUGAUGAGGAAGUAACAAAGCCUGUGCAGGAAGCUGGGAAUUUUGCUAAAAUCGAAAUAGAUCCUUGA
This 1162-nucleotide long non-coding RNA is filed under the name Takifugu rubripes (torafugu). Its description in RNAcentral is "lncRNA (ENSTRUG00000031241.1)". Lineage: Eukaryota; Metazoa; Chordata; Actinopteri; Tetraodontiformes; Tetraodontidae. The record is from RNAcentral.